UUUCCUUUACGGGAAACACGUACAAAGCUGCAGAAAGAUAAGGUCUAACUAAGAACUAGCUGUACCCAAUUGAACAAGCAUACAAACAGAAUAUUAAAAGCAAGAAAAAAACCAAUGCUCAGAUUCUGAUUGAAGCAAAGUAAAACCUGUGAUCAAUGAUGCUGCCAGGUUUACACUGUCAGGAACAUCAUGAGUCAGAGACGGACCGGCCAUGAGAGUCGGAACGAUCGUUAUGAGAUCGAUGUUAUUUUCUCGAGCGAAUUUCCAAGCUUCCUUCUCCGCUAGCGUCUUCGAAACAGAGUAUCCCUGCAUAUAUGUAGUAAAAAUUGAAUAUAUAUUUUUGGUUGUCCAUCCGGUUUCUAGGGUUUUGCCCUGACUAAUCCGGAUCCGACCCACGUCGCGCACGUGAGAUGGUGGGUGAAUCUGCUAGCGGGGAAGUAAAAAUUGAAUAUAAGAAACUAAAGAUUAAAUAGUUUGUUUGAGUAGAUUAUUAGUUACCCAAGUGGGUGGCUUCUCUGAAGUCAAGUAGUCAAUAUCAGUCCAAUUUUGCUCA
Mercurialis annua (annual mercury) is the source of this 553-nucleotide long non-coding RNA. RefSeq lists it as uncharacterized. Lineage: Eukaryota; Viridiplantae; Streptophyta; Magnoliopsida; Malpighiales; Euphorbiaceae. The transcript is spliced from 2 exons. The record is from RefSeq and is a predicted model, not a curated record.